UGCAAAGCACAAUGGCUGAGAGGACUUAUAAAGAUUAUUAUAUAUUUUCAUUCUAAUUGCAUAUUAAAAGUCCCUUUUAAACCACGAUCGACUCUUCGUAAAAUCGUACCGCUGAUAGAUUUUAUGACACCAAUUUUUUUUUUUUUUGAAUAAUCAAAGAGGUUCUGGGCCGAAUCUCAUACAUCUCCUCAAGCCCAAAACCAAUACAUCUCUUCAGACCCGAAACCAAAACAUGUUAUUUAGUCUUGUCCCAAGAUAUUAUGUAUUAAGCAGCACUAUACAUACACAUGCUCACAUGUCUACAAGUAGAGUUUAACUUGAAAGCUAACUCUGUGAAUUAAGCACAACGAUUUGCUCAUAAGAACUAAAUUCACUUUUUGUGAGAGUUCAUAUCAUUUUUUAAUGGAUAUUUAAGUUUUAAAAGUGGUUAUUUACUAACCAACGCAACUCUCGAGUGUAUGGUUACUUUACUAACACUCUAUUUUCCGAC
Molecule: long non-coding RNA, 490 nt
Filed under: Capsella rubella
Lineage: Eukaryota; Viridiplantae; Streptophyta; Magnoliopsida; Brassicales; Brassicaceae
Description: long non-coding RNA (CRUB_LNC004912)
Source: RNAcentral